Molecule: ribosomal RNA, 253 nt
Filed under: uncultured bacterium
Lineage: Bacteria
Description: partial 16S ribosomal RNA
Rfam family: Bacterial small subunit ribosomal RNA
Source: RNAcentral
UACGUAGGGGGCAAGCGUUGUCCGGAAUCAUUGGGCGUAAAGCGCGCGUAGGCGGUUCGAUAAGUCUGCUGUGAAAGUCCAGGGCUCAACCCUGGAAAGCCGGUGGAUACUGUCGGACUAGAGUGCGGAAGAGGCGAGUGGAAUUCCCGGUGUAGCGGUGAAAUGCGCAGAUAUCGGGAAGAACACCCGUGGCGAAGGCGGUUCUCUGGGACGGUACUGACGCUGAGACGCGAAAGCGUGGGGAGCGAACAGG